GACGAACGCUGGCGGCGUGCUUAACACAUGCCAGUCGAACGAAGAGCGACGGAAGCUUGCUUCUAUCAAUCUUAGUGGCGAACGGGUGAGUAACGCGUAAUCAACCUGCCCUUCAGAGGGGGACAACAGUUGGAAACGACUGCUAAUACCGCAUACGAUCUAACCUCAGCAUCGAGGAUAGAUGAAAGGUGGCCUCUACAUGUAAGCUAUCACUGAAGGAGGGGAUUGCGUCUGAUUAGCUAGUUGGAGGGGUAACGGCCCACCAAGGCGAUGAUCAGUAGCCGGUCUGAGAGGAUGAACGGCCACAUUGGGACUGAGACACGGCCCAGACUCCUACGGGAGGCAGCAGUGGGGAAUCUUCCGCAAUGGACGAAAGUCUGACGGAGCAACGCCGCGGGAGUGAUGACGGCCUUCGGGUUGUAAAGCUCGGUUAAUCGGGACGAAAGGCCUUCUUGCGAAUAGUGAGAAGGAUUGACGGUACCGGAAUAGAAAGCCACGGCUAACUACGUG
RNAcentral lists this ribosomal RNA (510 nucleotides) under uncultured bacterium. RNAcentral describes it as "partial 16S ribosomal RNA". It matches the Rfam family "Bacterial small subunit ribosomal RNA", at positions 28 to 507 of the family's 1533-position model. The record is from RNAcentral.